UACAUCUUGUGUAUCUCACUGAAAGUCGAUGCAGAGCCAGCACUGCUCCUUUCAGAGGAGAAUAUUCACUUAUGCUUAUCCCUGAGAAGCUAUUUCAGUAAGCGUCUCAGUACAUAAAGUAAAAAAUGAAUGUGAAAAAGAAGUGCACUUUCUGCAACUGCAAUAUGAAUAUGAACUUUCUGAUGAAGAAAGAAUCAGAAGUGAGAACACGAAGAUGUAGGACAAACCAUGUGGUCAUGGAUCUAGGGAGGGCAGGAAGAAGAAAAGAUAAGAAAAUAACUAAUAAGAAAGUAAAAUGCAGGUCCCUGCUUGACUUUUGGUCCUGACUGAACAAGGCUAUUAAACUGUGUUAGUUUAUUCCUGACUGUUCCCGCAAAGAUGACUGAGACCUGUAUCCAAUACUUGGCCACAGCCUGCCUUUAUCUCCAUUUCUUGGAUGUCUCCAGUUGCAUUAAUCUUACAAAGCACUGAAAUGUCAUUGGAAAGGGCGAAAGCAACUCCAGAUUCUCAAGAUGCUGUACUGUAGAAAUAUUACCAAGUAAGAGGAUAUUUCCUAAUCUUAAUUUAGGUUUAAACCCAAAAACAUACGGUCUGUCUUCAUUGACAUCUUCUUGCUCCUUUCAUCUUCAUCUUGCUCCUUUAACUGGGGGUGUGGGAGGUUUGGGACUGUCCACAUUGCUGCCUUAGGAUUUGUAUGGCUCCAUGUAGAUAUCUAUAUACUCUAGUGUCAGCCAGAAGUGAAGAGAAAUAGGGACACCAUCUGUCUUUAUGGCACAAAAGGUUCUGCUAGGGAAGUUUAUACAGACACAGGGUAUCAACACAAAGAAAUGUGGAAUCUGAGGGAGAAAACCAGGCUGGGCCUAAUAUGCUCAGCCAUCAUGCUGAGUACUUGAGCUCACUCAGUUUGUAGGAGCCUGUGGGAGUAUAUUUCCCAACAACUGACUGUCAGUAUAGGGCAGAAGUAGAUUUGAGCAUUGUUGUGGACAUGUGUUCAAAAUAUAGCAUGGAAACAGCGAAUGAGUCAAGGUAUCAUAAACACAGUUUAAUGAAGUAUAAGUGAAACAUACUACAAUUGGAAAAAACAGGUCAUUUACCACAAAACAGUCCAAUUUCUCCACUGUUGUAAAUGGUCCUGUACUCUUGAUUCCCCACGGAGUCCAUUUUGGUCAGUUUUCGAUUUGAGUUUUCAGCUCUGUGUCUCCAAGAUGCGGAUCAAUCACCCUUCCGUUGUGUUUAAGAGCAUAACAGAGCAGUCACCUUACACCUAGCUGCACAGUGGCCAGACACUCCAACAGUACUGAAACUGUUUGGAAAAGAGUUAAAGUUUAAGGAGGAUUGAUAAUUCUGAGUAUAUAACUUGAUCAAGCUUUAAUACUUCAAUAAGAGUAAGAAAUAUGUACAUUAGAUUAUAUAGUGAGGGUAUCUACACCAGGAGAAUGCUAACCCCACUCUUACAGUGCUUACAAGACCACUGUAGAGUGAGCACUCCUUGCUAAAUCAUUCCAGGGUUUAAUAGUCACUUCAGAGACUACAAAACUCAUGCAGAUGCUUAGCAACUUAAAAGAUAUUUUAUGUGCUUCAUGCUUUCCAAACCCUCCUUGGUUUAUUUCCCUCUGCCUCACCACAGACAAUUCUGCUCUCAUUACCUUUUUUUUUUUUUUCCUUUUCAGGCCUCUUUUUUUUUUUUUUCUUUUCUCUCUGGCCUAGCUUUCUUAGUGUCAUUUUAGAACUUCCUUCUCAAAACAUCUACUUCUAAUUAGAUUGCUAGCUAUGUAUUAGCUAUGGAAAGUGUCAGUAGUAAUUGAAAAAAAAAAUUCUAAAUGUACUACUCUUCAUAUGAAAAAAAAAUAAUUAAAAUACUUUUAACUUCCUAAUAACUUUCUGACUUACAGUUUUUCUCAUAUUAAGCCUCAAGGGGUUUUCUCUAAUCCCAGAUUACUGUUGUUGAUUUCCUUUUUCUGUGCCUUUAUAUCUUUGUUUAGAGCACUAAGCAGCCUUUUUGUGCUCUGGUUGCUUAUACAUCCUCCUGUAGAAAUGAGAUGUAAUAGGAAUGAAAGUUUGAGCAAGUUCCAAUUUGAUUGGUGUGCCAUGACCAAAGAGCUGAGUUGAUUUCUCAGAAACUCACUUGCAAUAGUUUGGAUUUUGCAUGAUCCAAGAUUGUGCCUCUGCCUGAAUCCUGUAUGCUAUGGGGUCUCUGAACAUCUUGAUUAAACUCUUCUGUCCCGGCCAAGGAAUUUCCCAAUCGGUUAUUUUUACUGUAAAGAAAACCCUAGAGAGUCACAGAUUUUUCAAAACAAAAAGCAGCCCUGAGACACACAUCUCCACCCAGUGUUAUCUUUCCCCUUUUUGUGAUUUUUACAACUAGAAAAACUACCAACUCAACUUUCUCAAUCUUGAUUUUCCGGUAUGUGAUGGUGGUUGGUUCUUUUCCUUGCUAGCCUCAGGCUCUGAUCCUUUGCCCUGUAAGUUCAGAGAUAUGAAACACCCUGUGCAAUUUGAGUCAGGUGGCUCAACCAUGUAAAAUAAUUCAGUACAGAAGGUUCUUUACUUGUUCUUUCUAACACAGCUGAAGAGCCUCCCUAGACCUAGGCAGGCUGCAAAAUGCACUAUGUCAAGAUCAGAGUGGCUUUUCAACUGCCACCAAAUGCAAUGAUAUUCAGAAAAUAGAAGGGAGUUCACAGUGAGAUUCAGAUAUAUUCUACAUCCUGUGUGUGUCACAGUUGCUAAAAGACCUUUUUUAAUCGUAGUUCAAAGUCAAUAUUGGGAAGAUAAAACAUUUGCUUUCUGCCAAUAACUGCAUCAAAAACAUAGUAAAAUAUGGCAGCAAUUCUAAGCUGUUGGUUAUAUUGCAGCAGAUUUUAAGUAACGACAUCAAAAGCAAUGACAGUGCUGUCACUUCCAUGUCACAAUGUACUUUUAUAAAGCUAUGUAUUUCAUUCACAACCUGAAUGUUUUUAUUCAUGAAAUGUAAGUAACAGAUUGUCACAAAAAUGAACAACAGGUCCUCAUUCUCUGUUUUCAGGCUAACUCCUAAAGCCUUAUUCAGAUUCUUAGAUAUUCACAGAAUGUAUUGGAAAAAGCUGCUUUCAGGUGUAAUUUAUAUACUACAGGCAAGAAACAUACAUUUCAGGGAUAUUUCGUUCCCUAGUCAAGGAGAUGGAAGAUACAUCUCUUUAAAAAAUUAGAUGAAUCUGGAGAACUAAACAUGCUAGUGGCUUUGAUUCUAAAUUAGCAAUAGAAUAAAUGUUUUUAAUUUGAAGUUGCUAUCUUAUAG
This 3274-nucleotide long non-coding RNA is filed under the name Anas platyrhynchos platyrhynchos (common mallard). Its description in RNAcentral is "lncRNA (ENSAPLG00000024927.1)". The record is from RNAcentral. Lineage: Eukaryota; Metazoa; Chordata; Aves; Anseriformes; Anatidae.